AAAGGAGAAGGGGGUUAAAGAACUCGCCUCAAGGCCAUAUGAUCCUCUCUUCACCACAAUUACUCACAAUGGAGAUGCAUGCAGAUAAAGUGCCCCGUUAAUCACUGUAAUAUAGCCACAGCCCUAAAGAGGAUCUCAGUAAUUUCUGUCUUCACCUCAAUGUCUUGUCCUCAAUGUAUCAUGUCUGAAAAUGCACAUCCAAUUGGUAGAUUCUCCUGAAUAUAUCGUUUCAUUCAACUAUGACACAACCCUUUAAGGCUACAGCUAAAAUUAAUGAAAGUAAGGGUAGGACAACUAAAUAUUACAUGCAGUGCUCACCCGUUAUAACGCACCCUGUUAUAGUACGGAAUCGAUUACAACACAGUAAGGUCGUGGCUCCCACUUCCCCCAUAAGGCAAUUUGACUCACAAACGUCUGGUGAACAUUCCAACUAAACUGUAAGAAACAUGGCAGACCGCAAAAAAUGAAAGUCGAUCUCUGUUAAAAUGAAACUUGAUGCGGUGGACAGAGUGAGAAAAGGUUAAACUCAAGCAGCAGUUUCUAAACAUAUAAAUGUUUCAGAAUCUACAUUGUGUGGCUGGCUGAAAGAGGAAGAAAAACCAAGAGGUUUUCUUGAUCAAACUGACUCCAAAAGAGGGCUGCUCAAGGAAAUAAAUGCACUGUGCUAAAGACACUGAAUUAGACAAUGCUUUAUUCACUUGGUUCGUGCAGGAAAGUCAACAGGGAGUCCCGAUCUUUGGCACAACAUUGCGAGCACAGGCAGAUAAAUUUAUCAGGGAGUUAGGAGGUCCACCUGAUUUUAAAGCAAGCAUUGGGUGGUUGCAACACUUUCAGAAGAGGCGUGCCAUCAGUCAGGUUUCAGAAGAGGCGUGCCAUCAGUCAGGUUUCAAAAGAGGCGUGCCAUCAGUCAGGUUUCAAGAGAGGCGUGCCAUCAGUCAGGUUUCAAAAGAGGCGUGCCAUCAGUCAGGUUUCAAAAGAGGCGUGCCAUCAGUCAGGUUUC
Molecule: long non-coding RNA, 1000 nt
Organism: Polyodon spathula (Mississippi paddlefish)
Lineage: Eukaryota; Metazoa; Chordata; Actinopteri; Acipenseriformes; Polyodontidae
Exons: 2
Source: RefSeq, a predicted model, not a curated record